CUAUUUGUUGCCUCGGCGGUGCCUGUUCCGACAGCCCGCCAGAGGACCCCAAACCCUGAUUACAUUUAAGAAGUCUUCUGAGUAAACCGAUUAAAUAAAUCAAAACUUUCAACAACGGAUCUCUUGGUUCUGGCAUCGAUGAAGAACGCAGCGAAAUGCGAUAAGUAAUGUGAAUUGCAGAAUUCAGUGAAUCAUCGAAUCUUUGAACGCACAUUGCGCCCGCUAGUAUUCUGGCGGGCAUGCCUGUCCGAGCGUCAUUUCAACCCUCAAGCCCCCGGGCUUGGUGUUGGGGAUCGGCGAGCCUCCGCGCCCGCCGUCCCCUAAAUCUAGUGGCGGUCUCGCUGUAGCUUCCUCUGCGUAGUAGCACACCUCGCACUGGGAAACAGCGCGGCCACGCCGUUAAACCCCCAACUUCUGAACGUUUGACCUCGGAUCAGGUAGGAAUACCCGCUGAACUUAAGCAUAUC
RNAcentral lists this ribosomal RNA (467 nucleotides) under Ilyonectria sp. ESO133. RNAcentral describes it as "eukaryotic LSU rRNA". The stretch from base 104 to 257 matches the Rfam family "5.8S ribosomal RNA". Lineage: Eukaryota; Fungi; Ascomycota; Sordariomycetes; Hypocreales; Nectriaceae. The record is from RNAcentral.